AGAACUUACAAGAUGCNUUGGUGNNUUCGGGAACUGUGAGACAGGUGCUGCAUGGCUGUCGUCAGCUCGUGUUGUGAAAUGUUGGGUUAAGUCUCCCGCGAAAGAGACGCCAAACUCUUAUUCUUUGUUGCCAGCGGUUCAGGCCGGGAACUCAAAGGAGACUGCCAGUGAUAAACUGGAGGAAGGUGGGGAUGACGUCAAGUCAUCAUGGCCCUUACGACCAGGGCUACACACGUGCUACAAUGGCAUAUACAAAGAGAAGCGACCUCGCGAGAGCAAGCGGACCUCAUAAAGUAUGUCGUAGUCCGGAUUGGAGUCUGCAACUCGACUCCAUGAAGUCGGAAUCGCUAGUAAUCGUAGAUCAGAAUGCUACGGUGAAUACGUUCCCGGGUCUUGUAACCCCG
This 404-nucleotide ribosomal RNA is filed under the name Klebsiella pneumoniae. Its description in RNAcentral is "bacterial SSU rRNA". It matches the Rfam family "Bacterial small subunit ribosomal RNA", at positions 992 to 1385 of the family's 1533-position model. The record is from RNAcentral. Lineage: Bacteria; Pseudomonadati; Pseudomonadota; Gammaproteobacteria; Enterobacterales; Enterobacteriaceae.